RNA transcript from Prunus persica (peach), 1218 nucleotides. It is a transcript of the gene named elongation factor 2, with no coding region annotated. The record is from RefSeq and is a predicted model, not a curated record. The transcript is spliced from 4 exons. NCBI's taxonomy places the organism in Eukaryota, Viridiplantae, Streptophyta, Magnoliopsida, Rosales, Rosaceae.
GCUUAAAUUUUUAUAGGAAAAAAAGAAGAAGGCAGAAGUAGAGAAUGGUGGGCCAUGAGAAACUAGAAAAUGGCACAGCGGAGCCCAACCCAUGAAACGAAAACCCUAACCUUAUAUAACACUCACACAUUCCCUUCGGAACCCACAAAUUUUCUCUCAGUCUCGUUCUCUUUUAUAGGCUGCGGAGAAUUCCUCUCUCUCUACCUCGAUUCUUCUUGAGGUGGUUCACCUCCGUAUAAUUACAAAUUGGUGGUUUCUCUUAAAUACUUGUCAAGAUGGUGAAGUUUACAGCAGAGGAACUCCGUAGGAUUAUGGACUACAAGCAUAACAUUCGCAAUAUGUCCGUUAUUGCACAUGUUGAUCAUGGGAAGUCAACCCUUACCGACUCCCUUGUUGCUGCUGCUGGUAUCAUUGCACAAGAAGUUGCUGGUGAUGUCCGGAUGACAGAUACCCGUGCAGAUGAGGCAGAGCGUGGUAUCACAAUCAAAUCUACUGGUAUCUCUCUCUACUAUGAGAUGACUGAUGAAGCUUUGAAGAGCUACAAGGGGGAGAGAAACGGAAAUGAGUACCUCAUCAAUCUCAUUGAUUCCCCUGGGCACGUUGACUUUUCAUCUGAAGUCACAGCUGCCCUUCGCAUUACUGAUGGUGCACUUGUGGUGGUUGAUUGCAUUGAGGGUGUUUGUGUCCAAACAGAGACUGUGCUUCGUCAAGCCUUGGGAGAAAGGAUCAGGCCUGUUUUGACUGUUAACAAGAUGGACAGGUGCUUCCUUGAGCUCCAGGUCGAUGGAGAGGAGGCUUACCAAGCAUUCCAAAGGGUUAUUGAGAAUGCUAAUGUCAUUAUGGCUACAUACGAAGACCCCCUUCUUGGUGAUGUCCAGGUCUAUCCAGAGAAAGGAACAGUUGCCUUUUCAGCUGGUUUGCAUGGUUGGGCUUUUACUCUGACCAACUUUGCCAAGAUGUAUGCAUCCAAGUUUGGAGUUGAUGAAUCAAAGAUGAUGGAAAGGCUCUGGGGUGAGAACUACUUUGACCCAGCUACCAAGAAAUGGACCAGCAAAAACACUGGUUCUGCUACCUGCAAGCGUGGUUUCGUUCAGUUCUGUUAUGAACCCAUCAAGCAGAUUAUCAACAUCUGCAUGAAUGAUCAGAAGGAGAAGUUGUGGCCCAUGUUGACAAAGCUUGGUGUGACGAUGAAGAGUGAUGAAAAGGAGCUGAUGGGGA